CACAUUUUACAUUUCUGUUUAAUUUCUACAGUGGUAUGAGGGCUUUAAAAUUAUAUGCAGCAUAAUAAUUACACAGAAUCCAAAAAUGAUAGCCUAAGUCUGGAAAUUUCUCUAACCUAAAUCUGUAGCUACACUUUUACUGGUGAAUCAGAAUUCCCAUGUUUAUAAUAAUAAUAUGAUGAUUAAUGUCUGUAUAGUGAUGUUUAUAAAUAUGUGCAUUUAUUUUUCAAAAAUAUUGUAAUCACAGCGAUUUUGCUUUAUUCUGAGACUUAAAAAAAAGAAAAAGAUUUUUGAGCCAUUUGUUAUUUUAAAACUGAGUGAUUGGCAAACUCGUUAGUCUGUGGAGGGUUGCGUAUCGCAGACCGCAUGCGUUCAAUGAUAGAAUAACAAUUAUGUGUCUGUGUGACGAGGGGACGUGUGACGUUGUGUGGGUAGCACUGUUGGCAAUGAUUCUUAUGACCAAAGGUGAUACAGAACGGUUUACAGAGGCGGCCAAUAUCUUGGCAUACGGGCUUUUAACUACUAAUUGUCGUCCAAUCUGCAGCAAUAGUCUACUAAAGAACUUUGUAAGCUUAAGUGGGACCUAUAGAAAUCAUGUCGUCCUAGGCACUUAGUCCUGUCACCACGAUCAGCUAAAUACCAAAUUUGUGUAAAAGUGUGCGCGUCAUGCACUCUUUCUGCUGCAACGAUGUGAUUGGCGUGAUUGAUCAAUAAGUCUUCCACCCAAUAACUUCAAUAUCCCGCUUUGGUUUAUCUUUCCAGCUUAAGGGUCUACCCCGGACCCCCAGUGUUCUCGGGAACAGUCCCAGUGAUUUGUGAGUUUACUUCUAUGACAGGGCUUACUAACCGAUACCACCUAUACCAGGGGAAGGGUGCAUGAUUAGGAAUAGGUUUGUAUGGGUGGGUGUGCAGGUCAACAUCUAAUCAUUUGUGUCUAGUCUUCAACAGUAGUCUGUGGUCAGGGCGCUUUGGGGAUUAAGAGGUGCGGAAGCAAAGUCACAUCAUCUAACCUCUGUCCUGGAUACGCGGCUAUAGAAUACGCACUAAUAAAGCUCAGUCCUCCUAAGAGUACAGUUUCCGUGUCGUCAAUAUUUUCUCCAAAAACUACAUGUUCGUGAUUUCGCAGGCUACUAGAUAUCACUUAAGACCGUCUAUCGUGGAGUCACGUGGGAUUGGUGUGUUGAUGUGUCGGGGUGUAAUGUGUCAUGUGUGUGGGCGUGUAUAUGCAGAUCGUUGCUCGUGAGCGUAGGUCCUCCUAGAGGCCUCUUGAUAGAGAAUUAUGGUCUAGUUCUCCUAUUGCAAUCCCGUCCUCUCCAGCUCAAUGCUUGGCUCUGGCACCCUCCAGUGCAGUGGCUCGCAUGCACCCAUGUGGCUCUCCGGCUGACCUUUACCAUGGAGUGAGUGACGAAAAGGAUCUAGAAUGGCCCCGACCACCGUGGCUUGUUCCACCUGGUCCUGCGGAAGUCCUUGAUCACGAUCCACUCUCCGGGCUUCAGUUCAUGCAGCGGACCCGUAGCUGGACCUGGAAGUGCUACCUUUACCUGCUUGUGGAUAGAGUGCAGAGCAGAGGACAGGGUUGCACAAUAAUUUAACAUUGCAUCAUCACAUGCUGCAGCGUCGGGAAGAGGAGCUGUCACAGGCCCAACUCCUGUUUGUGGACGCCUCCCAAACAGUAUCCCAAAGGGGCUAAGCCCAUCCUAAGCCUGCUUCAGAACAGCAUUUGCUCAAUCUGUUUUUUAGUGUCCCAUUUUCACUCUCUACCACCCUACCACUAACUGGAUGAUAUGCACAGCGCUGCUUUAAGUCAAUACAGAUAUAUUCACCCACCUACUUAAGGGCAUGGCUCACAAAAGGUGUGGCAUUAUCACUGGAGAUUAUCAUUAGGGACGUGGCCUUCUCUACCUUCAAACCUCAACCCACGUUAUGAGUUGCACAAAGAUCGUAAACAAAAUGAUUAUUUAAUUAAUUAAUUAAUUAAUUUUUUAAGAGUAAUUAGAGAAACCAAUGCUUUAUCGCUGCUAUCAUUCCCCCUUUUUGACGCAUGGUCCCUGCCAUGCAUCAACUUUGAAGACAAGGACAGCCCUGGGGGCACCGCCAAACUCCGUCAACAACUGUGCAGCCUGCUUUGUGCCACACAGCCUUUUCCAAAUAGCCCGUGCUUGGAGAUCUGAAAGCUGUAAAGAAGGAGUGAUUAUUUUCUUUUGCGUUUUAGGACCAUAGAUGCAGCUGCUUGCUUUGCUGCACUGUCUGCUCGAGCGUUUCCAAGGAAAACAGGGUCUAAUUUGUUAGUGUAUGCAUCACAUUUGCAUACUGCAAUAGUUUUGGGGAGUAGGACUGCGUCCAGCAGCUCAAAGACUAGUUUGUGGUGGGCUAUGGUGUGCUAUGGUAUAACUUUCAAAGUUUUAACGGAUUUAACGAGCUAUGAAAAUCAAGUGAAUAUGCAUUCUCGUGCACGGAGAGAAAAGGUUCUAGUGUGUGCCAAAUCUCUAGACAUUCAAUUAAUCAUAUAACCUAUAGGUUCAAUAAAGCAAACCUUAAGAAUGUAAAAGAGUUUUACAGUUUGGUAGGGCUUACAGUUUUCUCUUCCCUUCUUUAAAAAAAAAAAAUUAUUUCUUCUUUUUUUUUUUUAGCUCAGUAAUAUUUACUUGUGCGUUAAAUUUGACAAAUGUAUCAUGUACCGCUGAUAUGAGGGAAUGAGUCAAUGGGGAAUGACACUUGAUAAUAACCCGCCGCAGAAAAAAUACUGCACCUCUUGCACUUCUUAAUAAGUACUCUCUUUACUUAUUUAUUGCUCUAACUGGAGUCUUUCCGUUAGCAAAUAUUUUUACCGUUAUUAUCUCUCUCUCUCUCUCUCU
This is a long non-coding RNA of Ictalurus punctatus (channel catfish), 2855 nucleotides long. The record is from Ensembl. Lineage: Eukaryota; Metazoa; Chordata; Actinopteri; Siluriformes; Ictaluridae.